Molecule: ribosomal RNA, 641 nt
Filed under: Actinomycetospora sp. I12A-02671
Lineage: Bacteria; Bacillati; Actinomycetota; Actinomycetes; Pseudonocardiales; Pseudonocardiaceae
Description: bacterial SSU rRNA
Rfam family: Bacterial small subunit ribosomal RNA
Source: RNAcentral
GCGGCGAACGGGUGAGUAACACGUGGGUGACCUGCCCUCCACUCCGGGAUAAGCCUGGGAAACCGGGUCUAAUACCGGAUAGGACCUCUGGGUGCAUGCCUGGUGGUGGAAAGUUUUUUCGGUGGGGGAUGGGCCCGCGGUCUAUCAGCUUGUUGGUGGGGUGAUGGCCUACCAAGGCGACGACGGAUAGCCGGCCUGAGAGGGUGAUCGGCCACACUGGGACUGAGACACGGCCCAGACUCCUACGGGAGGCAGCAGUGGGGAAUCUUGCGCAAUGGGCGGAAGCCUGACGCAGCAACGCCGCGUGAGGGAUGACGGCCUUCGGGUUGUAAACCUCUUUCGCGAUCGACGAAGGUCCGGUUUUUGCUGGGCUGACGGUAGGUCGAGAAGAAGCACCGGCCAACUACGUGCCAGCAGCCGCGGUAAUACGUAGGGUGCGAGCGUUGUCCGGAAUUAUUGGGCGUAAAGAGCUCGUAGGCGGUGUGUCGCGUCGGCCGUGAAAACCUGGGGCUCAACUCUGGGCGUGCGGUCGAUACGGGCAUCACUUGAGUUCGGCAGGGGAGACUGGAAUUCCUGGUGUAGCGGUGAAAUGCGCAGAUAUCAGGAGGAACACCGGUGGCGAAGGCGGGUCUCUGGGCCGA